UAAUCCCACAAGGGGAGCCUAAAUCGGCUGAGAGUGAACGUAUGAGUUCUGACCCUAUGAACCUGUUAGAUAAUGCUAGCGCAGGGACUGUGGUUUGAUGGAAUA
RNAcentral lists this non-coding RNA (105 nucleotides) under Heyndrickxia sporothermodurans. RNAcentral's name for it is "Bacillus sporothermodurans TPP sequence". It matches the Rfam family "TPP riboswitch aptamer (THI element)". Rfam says of the family: Vitamin B(1) in its active form thiamin pyrophosphate (TPP) is an essential coenzyme that is synthesised by coupling of pyrimidine and thiazole moieties in bacteria. The previously detected thiamin-regulatory element, thi box was extended, resulting in a new, highly conserved RNA secondary structure, the THI element, which is widely distributed in eubacteria and also occurs in some archaea. The record is from Rfam by way of RNAcentral. Lineage: Bacteria; Bacillati; Bacillota; Bacilli; Caryophanales; Bacillaceae.